RNAcentral lists this ribosomal RNA (502 nucleotides) under uncultured bacterium. Its description in RNAcentral is "bacterial SSU rRNA". It matches the Rfam family "Bacterial small subunit ribosomal RNA", at positions 28 to 521 of the family's 1533-position model. The record is from RNAcentral.
GACGAACGCUGGCGGCGUGGAUUAGGCAUGCAAGUCGAACGGUAUCAUCCUUUCGGGGGUGAGAGAGUGGCGAACUGGUGAGUAACACGUAGGUUAUCUACCCUCAAGACGGGGACAACCCAGGGAAACUUGGGCUAAUACCGGAUGUGAGCAACUUUUAGUUGUUUGAAAGGUGGCGUAAGCUGUCGCUUGGGGAUGAGCCUGCGUCCUAUUAGUUAGUUGGUGAGGUAACGGCUCACCUAGGCAAUGAUAGGUAGGCGGCCUUAACGGGUGGUCGCCCCACACUGGGAUUGAGAUACGGCCCAGACUCCUACGGGAGGCAGCAGUCGAGAAUAGUCUACAGUGGUCGGAAGACUGAUAGUGCGACGCCGCGUGAACGAUGAAUCCCUUCGGGGUGUAAAGUUCUUUUAUAUGUGAGCAGUGCUUCUUAUAUUAACAGUAUGGGGAGAGAGAUAUUAGCAUAUGAAUAAGCAACGGCUAACUCCGUGCCAGCAGCCGCGGU